AUCUAUCAACCCAACACAAGUUUGACCUUGUUAUUGGUGUUUGGAUAAUGAAGGCUGCUGGAAUUAAAUAUCAGCUCCUUUAAAAUGCAUUAGCCGAACAUUGUAUCAGCUCUGGUUUGAUAAUAAUCUUAUCCGUGCCGUUGCUGGUCAACAAAGUUCAGCUUCAAAUUGUCUCACUUUGAGACUGUCCAAUUUCUGGGCAUUAUUUUG
RNAcentral lists this unclassified non-coding RNA (210 nucleotides) under uncultured Clavariaceae. RNAcentral's name for it is "sequence contains ITS2". The record is from RNAcentral. Lineage: Eukaryota; Fungi; Basidiomycota; Agaricomycetes; Agaricales; Clavariaceae.